AGUCCGGCCGGAGUGGCGCGCGGGCCUCGCGGCCACAGUGGUUCCGGGGCUAGCUGCCGGCGCGCUUCCCGCUGCCUUCCGGCCCCGCGCGGGGAAGCUGAGGCCGCGCUCCCACCUCCCCUCGGCGCAGCCUCGCACCUCCCGCCGCGUCACCCGUCGCUGCUCCCGCUCCUCAACGGCCGCGGGGUUUGGGCCUACCUAGCGGUCGGGCCACCUCCGCUCUCUCCGCUGUGACGAAUCGGCGCCCGGCUGGCAAAUUACCCAAAUUCGGGGAGUUUUGAGAAACGUAUGGGGCCUGAAAAAAUCCUUGAUUGUACUAAGCACCACCGCGUCCCCACUAGAAGACUUAUUUUUCUUGAGAGAGUCGGUUGGAGCCUUGAAAGGAAUUAAGAAGAGUGUUGAAAGUGCGAGCGCGGAAGCUCCGGACGAGAGGGGCGGGGCGUGCGCGGGACAAAGGGAAGCGAGGCCGGAGCUGCGGGCGUUUUUUCUGCCCGCGGUGUCUCAGAUUCAUUCUUAAGGAACUGAGAACUUAAUCUUCCAAAAUGUCAAAAAGACCAUCUUAUGCCCCACCUCCCACCCCAGCUCCUGCAACACAAAUGCCCAGCACACCAGGGUUUGUGGGAUACAAUCCAUACAGUCAUCUCGCCUACAACAACUACAGGCUGGGAGGGAACCCGGGCACCAACAGCCGGGUCACGGCAUCCUCUGGUAUUACGAUUCCAAAACCCCCAAAGCCACCAGAUAAGCCGCUGAUGCCCUACAUGCGGUACAGCAGAAAGGUCUGGGACCAAGUAAAGGCUUCCAACCCUGACCUAAAGUUGUGGGAGAUUGGCAAGAUUAUUGGUGGCAUGUGGCGAGAUCUCACUGAUGAAGAAAAACAAGAAUAUUUAAACGAAUACGAAGCAGAAAAGAUAGAGUACAAUGAAUCUAUGAAGGCCUAUCAUAAUUCCCCCGCGUACCUUGCUUACAUAAAUGCAAAAAGUCGUGCAGAAGCUGCUUUAGAGGAAGAAAGUCGACAGAGACAGUCUCGCAUGGAGAAAGGAGAACCUUACAUGAGCAUUCAGCCUGCUGAAGAUCCAGAUGAUUAUGAUGAUGGCUUUUCAAUGAAGCACACAGCUACCGCCCGUUUCCAGAGAAAUCACCGCCUCAUCAGUGAAAUCCUUAGUGAGAGUGUGGUGCCAGAUGUUCGGUCUGUUGUCACAACAGCUAGAAUGCAGGUCCUCAAACGACAGGUCCAGUCCUUAAUGGUUCAUCAGCGAAAACUAGAAGCUGAACUUCUUCAAAUAGAGGAGCGACACCAAGAAAAGAAGAGGAAAUUCCUGGAAAGCACAGAUUCAUUUAACAAUGAACUUAAAAGGUUGUGUGGUUUGAAAGUAGAAGUGGAUAUGGAAAAAAUUGCAGCUGAAAUUGCACAGGCCGAGGAACAGGCUCGCAAAAGGCAGGAGGAAAGGGAGAAAGAGGCAGCAGAGCAAGCUGAGCGCAGCCAGAGCAGUAUUGUUCCUGAGGAGGAGCCAGCAGCUAAUAAGACCGAAGAAAAGAAAGAAGACGAGAGCAUUCCGAUGGAGACAGGUAACCUUUCAGUUGAUACUGAAGUAAAUGUCGAGGGUUUUUACAGCUGUCUUUAGUUCUGCUUUUCCUUUCUCAGUGCUUUUCAGAAGUCACUCUGUUGAUCUUGCCUCUUGAAUUAUUCUCCAUAUACUACCCAUUUCUUUCAAAAUCUUAAUCUCUUACAGUAGAGUCCACUAAAAAUGUUGGUAUUGGUACAAAACAGCAGUGGUGUGUUGUCUUUAGUCUUGCUGUGUGAGGUCUUGGUUGUUUGCCCAGAUUGAGUCAUGUCAUUUCCUGGGAAUAUAAAGUAUAAUGGUUUAAUGGUUAAGGAUGCUGGCCCGGGAGUCAGACAGAUCUGGGUCUAACACUGCUUCACCAUUUGCUAGCACUGUGACUUUGGGUAAGUUACUUAAUAUCAGUUUCCUCAUUUGCAAGUAUUCUAGCACCUGCCUCUGAGAGUGAGUUCCCAAGGAUAAAUGUACAUAAAAUCAUCAUUACUGCACUUGACAUGAUAUUGGCACUCAGUAUUUUAACGUUUAUUGCUAAAAUUGUUUAAACAAGAUGUGGUCAUUGCUCUUAAGAUCAGUGUCGUCUCUGGUGUCCUAGAACGGAGUUAGGCAAAUAAAACCUGCAGGCCAAAUCCUGCCUGCCACCUGCUUUUGUAAAUAAAGUUUUGUUGGAACCGUUUAUUUACGUAUUGUUUGUGGCUGCUUUGGGGCUACAACAGUAUAGUUGAGUAGUUGCAACUGAGACUGCCUGGCCCACAAAACCUGAAAUAUUUACUAUCUAGCCUUUGUAGAAAGCAUUUGUUGACCCCAUCCUGGAACAAUUCAUACUUCUGUUCUACUGAUUUUCCUGAUUAAAAGCAUUCCUCAAGGCAAACAAUAACACAGCUUACAUGAAGUACUGAUUAAAUUGAUUAUUGCUUGAAAUUUUGAGAUCACUCUACUUUCUGGCACUGUUUUGACCCUGCGCAGUGCACUGUGUAAUAAACAGAACUGAGCUGAAAGUAUGGGAGACACAAUCAAAGGCUCCCUGGACCAUCAUUACAAGAAGUGAGAGGGACCAUAGUCAUACUUGGUGCUCAACCGACAACUUCUGAUUUGACAUCUGGAAAACAUUAAGUAGAAUAUAGUAUCUUUACCAGAUAUUUCUACAGAGUGAUUCAGCAGAUUAACAUUUCAGAUAGUCAGAUUUUAAGUUUUAUUAUCUGAACCUUUCUCUGUUUUGUGUGAACAUGUUUUUUAUCUUAACAGAUUUGGAGCGUGAACACAUUUUGUGGUUAAAACAAGAGCUUGAGAAUUAGAGCAUGGUUCUUUGGCUCAUUUUGCAGCUAGAAUACUCAGCCUUGCCUCUGUUUUGUCAUCUAUGAAUAGAGCAUGCCUAGGUCUUUACUCAGAUUUCAUCCUUCUAGCUGAAGAAAAAGAACUGAAGAAGAUUGUUCUGAAGACUAUUAGAGCAAUAACAGAAAACAGCCCAGCGUGACUUGUAACAAAGUACUUUAAAUAUCAGCCUUAUACCAUUUCCAUACCUGCUUUCUCACUCAUUAAAUCCAAGCACUUCACAAGAGCACUGUCCAAUAGAAAUGAAAUAUAAGUCACUGUGUAAUUAUAAAUUUUCUACUACUGACAUUUUUUUAAUGAAAUCUUUUUUUUUUUUUUUUUUGCGGUACGCGGGCCUCUCACUGUUGUGGCCUCUCCCGUUGCGGAGCACAGGCUCCGGACGCGCAGGCCCAGCGGCCAUGGCUCACGGGCCCAGCCACUCCACGGCACGUGGGAUCUUCCCGGACCGGGGCACGAACCUGUGUCCCCUGCAUCGGCAGGCGGACUCUCAACCACUGCGCCACCAGGGAAGCCCAAUGAAAUCUUUUAAGUGAAAUUAAUUUUAAUAAGUCUUCAAAAUCCGAGGAGACACACCUUGAAGAAACGACGGAAAGCCAACAGAAUGGUGAAGAAGGCACGUCUACUCCUGAGGACAAGGAGAGCGGGCAGGAGGGGGUGGACAGUCUGGCAGAGGAAGGGACCAGUGAUAGUAACACUGG
Orcinus orca (killer whale) is the source of this 3589-nucleotide RNA transcript. It is a transcript of the gene named SWI/SNF related, matrix associated, actin dependent regulator of chromatin, subfamily e, member 1, with no coding region annotated. The record is from RefSeq and is a predicted model, not a curated record. NCBI's taxonomy places the organism in Eukaryota, Metazoa, Chordata, Mammalia, Artiodactyla, Delphinidae. The transcript has 11 exons.